This 1444-nucleotide long non-coding RNA is filed under the name Monodelphis domestica (gray short-tailed opossum). RNAcentral's name for it is "lncRNA (ENSMODG00000038944.1)". The record is from RNAcentral. Lineage: Eukaryota; Metazoa; Chordata; Mammalia; Didelphimorphia; Didelphidae.
GGGAAAGAAGGAAAGACAAGGAAGAAAAGAAAGAAGGAAAGAGAACAGCUAUUGUUGCCCCACCUCUUUCUCACUCUCCUUCCUAUCUACUCUUGCUUAGCUGAAGUCCUAGCUCUUCCAGGAUGGAGAGGGUCACAUUCAAUAACCUUCUAGCACUAAUGAACUAGGAUUCUAUAGAUGCUUUUCCUGAUUGCCUCAACCCACCAUGACCUUUCUGCACAAAUUUACAGAACUUAGUGUCCAUAACACAUCAUGCAAAAGCUUCAUGGUGUAUGCUUUAACAUUGUCUAUGGGGGAGUUUUCUCAUGCGGGCAUUCCCUAGCUCAUUUAAUUCACAGGUCUACCUCCCAGCCCCAUUAUCCUAUCCCCCCAUGACAAAAGGACCACCAGAAGUCUGCCCUUUGACAGCUGACAGGUAAAUUUCUAAAUGACUAAAAAUAGAUGGGAAGGGAAAGAAGAAAAGGAACCCUCAAUACUAUCCAGCAUCAGUCUUGCUCUUAGGGACACGAUCUGAAAAUUUUAGUCAUUUGGGGCCUAACAGUUGAAUAACCUGGAUAUGAAAGAAAGGAAAGGGGUAGAAAUUGGAGAAUAAUCUCCCCAAAAAGGUCCCUUUGUUUAUUUAUUUUUUGGCUCUUUCAGGGAUUUUACAAACAGAUCAAUGUCCUAACAGCUCUUUUUUGACACCGGACUAAAGGCACAUUCUUUCUCAACACCAAUCCUUAUAUGGUCGGUAAUUACUCUGAAUAGCUUCUCUGAAAGAGGGAGAUGCAUGUUCCCAAUAUCCCUGAGAGAGCCGUCUCACUCACACAGCAACCAUGUCAAACAGCUCCAUACAACAAAAAUGACCCAAAGCCCUCCUUCUCUCCCCAAGCCCACUCUCCACCCCCCAUUUCCCUUCUGGAGCCAACCAGUGGAUACAGAGAAUGAAUUAUGUUCUCAGAACUAGAAUGAUGGGAGAGAUACAAAGACAGAAAGCACUGGGGUGUGUGAGAGGGGAAGAAAGGCAGGAGGAAGGAUGGGGCAGACAGCAGAGACAAAGAUGCCUCCAUUCACCAGACUGGCCAUUGAGUAACCCUCACAGUGUAGCAAGACAUGUUGGGCAAGUUGACGCAGGAGGGAAAACCAAGCCACUAGGUCAUCCCCAAGUUCUGGUUCUCUUCCCUCUAGGGCAAGGACUAUCUUGCCGUUGGGGGAGAUAGGGAGAGGCACAUUUUAACCUUACACUCAUCAGAAUUGGCUCAAACAGGGAAGGACAUACAAAAUCAACUGAGAUUAGAAAUCUAUAUUACUCUGUAGGAAAGUAGGAGGGGAAGGGGAUAAGGGAAGGAGUAACGAUGGAGCAUUGAUAGAAAAAGAGAAAAUUGGGGGAGGCACUGGUCAAAAGCAGAAUACUUUUGAGGAUGGAUAGAAUAAAAGGAGAGAAAGUCAGAGAAAUGGGGAGAAA